UCUCCUAAAAUUUUAUGAAUAAACUCAUCUUAUAUAGAGAGAUAUGAUAGAGUCCUUGUCUAGGUCAAACACCUAGUCAAGGCUUAUCCAAACAUGGCAAGUUAAGGGACGCCCAACUCUUGAGCACCUCCUUCAUAUUUUCGUGUAUGGAUUACCAAAAAUGGGUACACAAUGUAUACCCUAAAAGCCAUGAAAAUUUUAAAAAAAAUUUGGAUAAAUUCGGUGCAAAAUUGAAAGAGUUUUGGAUUUCUAAAACUCUAUCUCAUAGAAUUUGAAAUCCAAACUUAUUCCUUUUAGAUUUGAUCCAAACCACCUUCGAUGUAAGAAAGAAGAGAGGAGACCUUUUGUGAACGUGGGAG
RNAcentral lists this long non-coding RNA (359 nucleotides) under Elaeis guineensis (African oil palm). RNAcentral describes it as "long non-coding RNA (EGUI_LNC057299)". The record is from RNAcentral. Lineage: Eukaryota; Viridiplantae; Streptophyta; Magnoliopsida; Arecales; Arecaceae.